RNAcentral lists this ribosomal RNA (253 nucleotides) under uncultured bacterium. RNAcentral's name for it is "partial 16S ribosomal RNA". It matches the Rfam family "Bacterial small subunit ribosomal RNA", at positions 524 to 776 of the family's 1533-position model. The record is from RNAcentral.
UACGAAGGGGGCUAGCGUUGCUCGGAAUCACGUGGCGUAAAGCGCACGUAGGCGGAUUGUUAAGUCAGGGGUGAAAUCCUGGAGCUCAACUCCAGAACUGCCUUUGAUACUGGCGAUCUUGAGUUCGGGAGAGGUGAGUGGAACUGCGAGUGUAGAGGUGAAAUUCGUAGAUAUUCGCAAGAACACCAGUGGCGAAGGCGGCUCACUGGCCCGAUACUGACGCUGAGGUGCGAAAGCGUGGGGAGCAAACAGG